This 332-nucleotide ribosomal RNA is filed under the name uncultured bacterium. RNAcentral describes it as "bacterial SSU rRNA". It matches the Rfam family "Bacterial small subunit ribosomal RNA", at positions 568 to 898 of the family's 1533-position model. The record is from RNAcentral.
UGUGUAGGCGGCCACGCAAGUCGGAUGUGAAAGCCCCGGGCUCAACCCGGGAAGUGCACCCGAAACUGCAUGGCUUGAGUCUCGGAGAGGUUGGUGGAAUUCUCGGUGUAGAGGUGAAAUUCGUAGAUAUCGAGAGGAACACCGGUGGCGAAGGCGGCCAACUGGACGAAGACUGACGCUGAGACACGAAAGCGUGGGGAGCAAACAGGAUUAGAUACCCUGGUAGUCCACGCCGUAAACGAUGGGUGCUAGGUGUCACGGGCAUUGACUCCCGUGGUGCCGUAGCAAACGCAUUAAGCACCCCGCCUGGGAAGUACGGCCGCAAGGCUAAA